UUACAAGUUUGUCACCCUUUGUAAUAGUCAUUCUCUCUGUGUCUCACUUCUUCUUCUUCUUCUUCAGGAAAUGGGAAUGUCAUUUGCUGAAAUGGCUGAUAUGAGCCAUGAGAUUCGUGAAACAAGAGAUGCCUUGGAUGCUGCUGGAAACACGGACACUAGUACUGCCAUUGGCAAGGAGGAGACUUUGCAACCCAAACUUCUCCACUCUUCACAUGUCCCAGCCGCUUCACUGCCUCAUUUUUCUACUAUUCUUGCCAAUGGGUAGACGCCUUCUGUGCAUGUUCCACCCCAACUUCGGUCCCAUCAAAUUCCAUGAGGCUGAAGAAGUAGUACUAGUAGUAGAAGAAGAAGAAGAACGAGAAGAAGAAGACAACACAGUCACAAUGGGUGUGAGCUACUUUGUGCAGAGGAGUCAUGGCAUAUCAUGAUGAAGCUAAUUUGGGGAGGCGCAGAAUUAGCUAUGCCAGAGUGUGUGUUGAGCUCAGUUUUGUUUAUGGCCUACCAUUACAUUUCUCUUCUUUAUACUGUUUUCUCAACUUCAAGCCUUAAUGCUGUCAGUGGUCCAACCAAACGUAGACAUGAAGUAAUUGUGGCAUAUCAUGGUGCUGUUGCCACUGAUGAUCGUCGAUGUUCCAGAAUAGGGAUGAAAGUUCUUCAGGAAGGAGGUCAUGCUGUUGAUGCAUCAGCGGCUUCUGCUCUUUGCUUGGGGGCUGUAAGCCCAGCAUCAAGUGGCCUUGGUGGGGGAGCCUUUAUGCUUCUCAGGCUAUCCAGUGGGAAGGCACAAGCCUUUAAUAUGAGAGAAACUGCCCCCUUGAAAGCUUCUAAGAACAUGUAUGCAGGCAAUGCUACUCUGAAAGGUGAAGGUGCCCUUUCCAUAGCAGUUCCAGGGGAACUUGCAGUCCUUUACAAAGCUUGGAAACAACAUGGAAGGCUUCCUUGGAAGAGGCUUGUGAGGCCAGCCGAGCGUCUUGCUCAUUUGGGAUUUAAGAUAUCACCAUUUCUCCACAACCAGAUGGUCAAUAAAUCAUCUGUGAUCUUGGCAGAUAAGGGACUCUGAGACGUAUUUACUUCAAAUGGAAGUCUUUUGCAGGCAGGCGAUAUCUGCCGCAAUGAGAAACUAGCACAUACACUAAAAAAAAUUUCAAAAUUUGGUCCAGUGGCCUUGUAUAAUAGCUCAAUUGGAUUCAAGUUGGUUAGAGAUGUUCAGAAGGUUGGAGGUAUAUUGACAAUGAAGGAUUUGCAAAGUUAUAAAGUUAAAUUGAAAGAACCAAUUUCUGCUAAUAUUUUAGGGCGUAAAUUGCUUGUCAUGCCCCCUCCUUCAGGGGGUCCUCCAAUGAUACUUAUGUUAAACAUUCUAGCCCAAUAUGCAAUCCCUUCGUGUGUUUCUGGCCCCCUUGGGCUCCAUCGAGAAAUUGAAGCUUUGAAACAUGUGUUUGCUGUGAGGAUGAAUCUUGGUGAUCCUGAUUUUGUUCAUGUGUCAAAAGUUCUAUCUGAUAUGCUCUCUCCUAAAUUUGCUAAAGAAUUAAAGAAACAAAUAUUUGACAAUAUGACAUUUGAUCCCAGUCAUUAUGGUGGCAGAUGGAAUCAAAUCCACGAGCAUGGCACCAGUCAUCUGUCUAUCGUAGAUCGUGAGCGAAAUGCUGUAGCCAUGACUACUACUGUGAAUUCAUAUUUUGGUUCACUAAUUCUGUCACCUAGUACAGGAAUAGUCCUAAACAAUGAAAUGGCUGAUUUCUCGAUCCCUACAAAUGUUUCUGCAGAUAUUCCCCCACCGGCACCAGCUAAUUUUAUCUGCCCAGGAAAAAGGCCAUUAUCUGCCAUGUCACCUACUAUUGUCUUAAAGGAUGAACAACUGCAAGCUGUGGUAGGUGCUAGUGGUGGAGGCAAGAAAAGGUUGCUGCUUAGUUCUAAAUAUAUCUGAUUAGAUUGAAAUUCUAAUAUGACAAUUUUGUUUAACCAGCUGAUACCCAAUGUUGUAUCCUAUGAGAACUGGACAGCUGUGAGUGGUGAUCGCUUUGAAGUACCUGCUGAUAUCAGGGCAGCUCUUCGAAAGAAGGGGCAUGUCCUACAGAGCCUCUCAGGAGGGACUGCUUGCCAGUUUAUAGUUCAAGAUGUAGGGACUUUGAAGAAAAAUGGAGGCAUUGGAAAGCUUUUGGCUGUGAGUGAUCCAAGAAAAGGUGAGUUUCCUGCUGGUUAUUGAAAUGCUGGAGUAGUAUUAGGCUAUUCAUUCAGGUUUGCGUCUUUUGUUUACGCUGCUGGCAGAUGGUUUUCCUUCCAAUCUGGUGGAACUAGCCAAUGUUCCGCUUCAAUUUUUUUCUUUUUUUCUUUUUUCUUUUUCUUUUUUUGUUUUGAAUUGAUUGUUUUUCUCUCACGUAUUG
This is an RNA transcript of Quercus lobata, 2381 nucleotides long. It is a transcript of the gene named glutathione hydrolase 1-like, with no coding region annotated. The record is from RefSeq and is a predicted model, not a curated record. The transcript has 9 exons. Lineage: Eukaryota; Viridiplantae; Streptophyta; Magnoliopsida; Fagales; Fagaceae.